Molecule: ribosomal RNA, 508 nt
Filed under: uncultured bacterium
Lineage: Bacteria
Description: bacterial SSU rRNA
Rfam family: Bacterial small subunit ribosomal RNA
Source: RNAcentral
GACGAACGCUGGCGGCGUGCUUAAUACAUGCAAGUCGAGCGAGGUUACUGUUUUGGAUCCCUUCGGGGUGAAGAAGCUUUAACCUAGCGGCGGACGGGUGAGUAACGCGUGGGUAACCUACCCCAAAGUCCGGGAUAACAGCGGGAAACCGCUGCUAAUACCGGAUGCCUUUACCUUGGGGCAUCUUGAGGUAAAGAAGGUAACGCUUUGGGAUGGGCCCGCGUCCCAUUAGCUAGUUGGUGAGGUAACGGCUCACCAAGGCGACGAUGGGUAGCCGGCCUGAGAGGGUGGACGGCCACACUGGGACUGAGACACGGCCCAGACUCCUACGGGAGGCAGCAGUAGGGAAUAUUGCGCAAUGGACGGAGUCUGACGCAGCGACGCGCGUGAGCGAUGAAGGUCUUCGGAUCGUAAAGCUCUGUCCUUGGGGAAGAAGGCGAAAGCUUGACGGUACCCAAGAAGAAAGCCCGGCUAACUACGUGCCAGCAGCCGCGGUAAAGUCACGUCG